This 253-nucleotide ribosomal RNA is filed under the name uncultured bacterium. Its description in RNAcentral is "partial 16S ribosomal RNA". It matches the Rfam family "Bacterial small subunit ribosomal RNA", at positions 524 to 776 of the family's 1533-position model. The record is from RNAcentral.
UACGUAGGUGGCGAGCGUUGUCCGGAUUUACUGGGCGUAAAGCGCGCGCAGGCGGACUGAUCAGUCUGGGGUGAAAUCUCACGGCUCAACUGUGAGCGGUCCCUGGAUACUGUCAGCCUUGAGAUGUCUAGAGGAGAGCGGAAUUCCCGGUGUAGUGGUGGAAUGCGUAGAUAUCGGGAAGAACACCAGUGGCGAAGGCGCCUUGCUGGGCCAUCACUGACGCUCAGGGACGAAAGCGUGGGUAGCGAACGGG